RNAcentral lists this ribosomal RNA (252 nucleotides) under uncultured bacterium. RNAcentral describes it as "partial 16S ribosomal RNA". It matches the Rfam family "Bacterial small subunit ribosomal RNA", at positions 524 to 775 of the family's 1533-position model. The record is from RNAcentral.
UACGUAGGUGGCAAGCGUUGUCCGGAUUUACUGGGCGUAAAGAGCGCGCAGGCGGUCGUUCAAGUCGCGUGUGAAAGCCCCCGGCUCAACUGGGGAGGGUCACGCGAUACUGAUCGACUCGAAGGCAGGAGAGGGUAGUGGAAUUCCCGGUGUAGUGGUGAAAUGCGUAGAUAUCGGGAGGAACACCAGUGGCGAAGGCGACUACCUGGCCUGUUCUUGACGCUGAGGCACGAAAGCGUGGGGAGCAACAGG